UACGUAGGGUGCGAGCGUUAUUCGGAAUUACUGGGCGUAAAGCGUGCGCAGGCGGCUUUGCAAGACAGAUGUGAAAUCCCCGGGCUUAACCUGGGAACUGCAUUUGUGACUGCAUGACUGGAGUGCGGCAGAGGGGGAUGGAAUUCCGCGUGUAGCAGUGAAAUGCGUAGAUAUGCGGAGGAACACCGAUGGCGAAGGCAAUCCCCUGGGCCUGCACUGACGCUCAUGCACGAAAGCGUGGGGAGCAAACAGG
This 253-nucleotide ribosomal RNA is filed under the name uncultured bacterium. RNAcentral's name for it is "partial 16S ribosomal RNA". It matches the Rfam family "Bacterial small subunit ribosomal RNA", at positions 524 to 776 of the family's 1533-position model. The record is from RNAcentral.